AUACGUAGGGUGCAAGCGUUAAUCGGAAUUACUGGGCGUAAAGCGUGCGCAGGCGGUUUUGUAAGACAGAGGUGAAAUCCCCGGGCUCAACCUGGGAACUGCCUUUGUGACUGCAAGGCUAGAGUACGGCAGAGGGGGAUGGAAUUCCGCGUGUAGUAGUGAAAUGCGUAGAUAUGCGGAGGAACUCCUAUGGCGAAGGCAUUCCCCGACUCCUGCAGUGAUGCCAACGCGCGAAAGCGUGGAGAAAAAACGGGGUUAGAUACCGUGAGACGCCACUCACACAGCAGCUUCAACGGUGUUUUGGGUCUUCAGUCACUCAGUGCUGAAGCUAACGCAUGAAGUUAUCCGCCUGGGGAGUACGGCCGCAAGGUUGAAACUCAAAUGAAUUGACGGGG
RNAcentral lists this ribosomal RNA (395 nucleotides) under uncultured bacterium. RNAcentral describes it as "partial 16S ribosomal RNA". It matches the Rfam family "Bacterial small subunit ribosomal RNA", at positions 523 to 918 of the family's 1533-position model. The record is from RNAcentral.